RNAcentral lists this ribosomal RNA (254 nucleotides) under uncultured bacterium. Its description in RNAcentral is "partial 16S ribosomal RNA". It matches the Rfam family "Bacterial small subunit ribosomal RNA", at positions 524 to 776 of the family's 1533-position model. The record is from RNAcentral.
GACAGAGGUGCCAAGCGUUAGGCGGAAUCACUGGGCUUAAAGCGUGUGUAGGCGGAUGCCUAAGUACCUUGGUGAAAUCCCCCGGCUCAACCGGGGAACGGCUGGGUAUACUGGGUGUCUUGGGUCAUCUAGGGGCUGCCGGAACAAAUGGUGGAGCGGUGAAAUGCGUAGAUAUCAUUUGGAACGCCAACGGCGAAAGCAGGCAGCUGGGGAUGCACCGACGCUGAGACACGAAAGCCAGGGGAGCGAACGGG